GACCGGAAGUUGUGUAAAUCUGGGUCGCAUUUGAUAAAUGACAGUCGUGCGAAGAGUUAACAAGAUAUAAUAGGAACAGCCAUCAUGAGUGUACUUGCAGCAGUAAUGUACACAUAGGCUUGUGACUCGCAUAGAUAGGAUUACAAGAAGAUAGGAUUACAAGAAGAUAGGAUUACAAGAAGAUACAUGUAGGAUUACAAGUACUAUAUGGUAGCACUUUCUAGAUGAAUAAGAAAUGUACACCAAGAUCUAUUUCAAGAUGUGUUCUGUUCAACUGGCCGAUGAUUUCCACCCACACCUCAAGUAAUCUGCCUGUGUAAGACUGCGAAGAAAACACGAGGGGAGGGUAAAAACAAUGUAAUUAUUUACCCGUCUGAAUCACCUUGUUGACUUGUCUCCCAGUUUCGCUCUUUGUCUUAGCCGAGCCACUUCCUGGGCCUCUCGUCACGUCUGACAACCAAUGAUGCAUGGUGUCACGCUGGGUGAGCACGCGUCACAUGACUCGGAGAACGGCGUCGCGAGUCACUCAUUUGACGCGGCGCUCGCACAGGAGACGGAGCUAGCUGUCGAAGAGGAGAAACCAGAGGAGGACGAACACUGCACCAAGACUAAGAUCUGCGUAGAGAACGUUUCGCCGUUCACGGAAUAUGUGAAUAUGGACGACUACCGGAGGGAGAGUCAGUCAUCGGUGGAGUCAGACGAGAGUUACGAGGGCUCAGAGGAUCAGCUGAUGAUGCUCUUCAAGAUGGGACAUGUCAAGCAGCUGAAGAAGUUCCUGCGCAUGACGACGUGGCCCGACGACCACCUGAUCCGACACUCGCUGUGGCUGUCACUGUGCAAACACCUCCACAAGGCAGAUGGGAACCUGUACGAUGAGAUGGAGAAGGAACUGUUCAGUCAGUGUGAUAUGAGUGAGAAUAUUCCACUGCCAGGCUUCCUCGAUCAGACUCACCUGACGCCGUACUACCUGUCUGACCGCGGCGUGCACCUCAUCGGCCGAAUCAUCGCAGUCAUCAACCACACCAACCCCGACAUCACCUACAGCCCGGCCACGUUCGCUAUCUCCAGUCUCUUCCUGCACUACAUGGGGCCGUCGGAAACCUUCAACUGUCUGUACGCGCUGCUGCACAGCAAGGAACUCAUGUACAUUUCUCAGACGAAGGUCUCACUCGAGGCAUCCAAGUAUGUCCUUCGAGAUCUCACCAAGAAAUUUGCAAAAUCUGCAUACGUUCAUCUGGUGAGGCACAGCAAGAAUGUGGAAAAUAUCUUUGACAACUGGAUCUGGUGGAUUUACAGAGAUCUGCCAUUCUCUUUUCUAGUAAAACUCACUGACUGUUUUCUCGUGGAGGGAGUCAAGGUGUUGUACAGAGCGGUUCUUGCAAUUCUAAUCUUAUACACCAAGAUGUCAGGUAAACUGAAGACGUCUUCUCAGGAGCCUGUCAGUGUGAACAUAUCCAACAACAUCAGCCGAUUCUGUGAAAGAAUGCCUGUGGACAUCACUAAAUUCCUUAAGAUAGCCUUUGGUAUCCGAGGGUUGUCACGCAAGGAAAUCCACAAGCUGCAAGUGAAGCAUGAAAUGUACAUCAACAGUCGUCAGAUACUUACCUCGAAGGAAAUCCCCCGCGUGGCAUCCUCCAUCUCUCUGUGUGGCGUGCCAGUGUCCAGGACGUUUACCGGACCAGUCAUGCUGCAGCAGAGUGCUGGCUCACAUAUCUUAAGCAAUGAAAUGCUGCAGACGAUAUGGAGCUGGUUGCCGGCGCGUCUCGCAGUCUGUCAGCCAGAACUGCUGUACACAUCCGAGGAACACGGCACCAGUCUGAGAACACUGUAUGCCAAGAUAGAGUAUCGCUCACAGUCCAUCAUCAUCAUCAAGACCACUAACAAUGAGAUUUUUGGUGCCUUCUGUUCGGCCGCGUGGCAGCAGAGAAAGUCGAAGGAUAAGAACCUGAGUUACUUCGGUACGGGCGAGACGUUUCUGUUCUCGCUGGCGCCGACCAUGAUGAAGUACGAGUGGGUGGGGCUGUGGAAGGAGGACGUGCCCAACACCGGAAACAUGUUCCUGGCUGGGGAUACGAGCGAACUCACCAUCGGCGGAGGAAACGGUGAAGCGAUCAAACUUGAUGAGGACCUAAUGCACUGCAGAACUGAAAGCUGUGACACAUUCGACAACGAGCCAUUUUGUGAGGGCAAAGACUUCACAUGUAAAGUCGUUGAAGCGUAUGGAUUUCGAUGAUUUGAGGCAAAGACUUGACGUGUCAAGUGAUAACGGCAUCUGCUGAGUCAUCGUCUGACAUGGUUGAUCGACUCACGGUCGAGUAACCACACGCCUUCUGUGAGGACUGAGAUGUCUGGUGAUCUGAGGACGAGGACCGCGUCCCAUCCUAAUGUGUACGUGCACUGCAUGCCUAGGUAAUGGGUGAAAUGGUCUGGAAACCACCCAACUGACUGGAAACCACCCAACUGGCUGGAAACCACCCAACUGACUGGAAACCACCCAACUGGCUGUCUGGACCUAGACGACUUUAUUGUUGGUUUUACCGGCCUCGGUGGCGUCGUGGCAGGCCAUCGGUCUACAGGCUGGUAGGUACUGGGUUCGGAUCCCAGUCGAGGCAUGGAAUUUUUAAUCCAGAUACCGACUCCAAACCCUGAGUGAG
RNAcentral lists this unclassified non-coding RNA (2654 nucleotides) under Gigantopelta aegis. Its description in RNAcentral is "gTPase-activating protein skywalker-like, transcript variant X2". Lineage: Eukaryota; Metazoa; Mollusca; Gastropoda; Neomphalida; Peltospiridae. The record is from RNAcentral.